UACGGAAUGUGCAAACGUUAUUCGGAAUCACUGGGCUUAAAGAGUCCGUAGGCGGCAUGUUAGGUGAGGUGUGAAAUCCCCCGGCUCAACCGAGGAAUUGCGCUUCAAACCGGCGUGCUUGAGGAAGAUAGAGGUGGGCGGAACUGAUGGUGGAGCGGUGAAAUGCGUUGAUAUCAUCAGGAACACCGGAGGCGAAGGCGACCCACUGGGUCUUUUCUGACGCUGAGGGACGAAAGCUAGGGGAGCGAACGGG
This 253-nucleotide ribosomal RNA is filed under the name uncultured bacterium. RNAcentral describes it as "partial 16S ribosomal RNA". It matches the Rfam family "Bacterial small subunit ribosomal RNA", at positions 524 to 776 of the family's 1533-position model. The record is from RNAcentral.